RNAcentral lists this ribosomal RNA (724 nucleotides) under Micromonospora aurantiaca (nom. illeg.). RNAcentral's name for it is "bacterial SSU rRNA". It matches the Rfam family "Bacterial small subunit ribosomal RNA", at positions 1 to 756 of the family's 1533-position model. The record is from RNAcentral. Lineage: Bacteria; Bacillati; Actinomycetota; Actinomycetes; Micromonosporales; Micromonosporaceae.
UAGAGUUUGAUCCUGGCUCAGGACGAACGCUGGCGGCGUGCUUAACACAUGCAAGUCGAGCGGAAAGGCCCUUCGGGGUACUCGAGCGGCGAACGGGUGAGUAACACGUGAGCAACCUGCCCCAGGCUUUGGGAUAACCCCGGGAAACCGGGGCUAAUACCGAAUAUGACCUCUGACCGCAUGGUUGGUGGUGGAAAGUUUUUCGGCUUGGGAUGGGCUCGCGGCCUAUCAGCUUGUUGGUGGGGUGAUGGCCUACCAAGGCGACGACGGGUAGCCGGCCUGAGAGGGCGACCGGCCACACUGGGACUGAGACACGGCCCAGACUCCUACGGGAGGCAGCAGUGGGGAAUAUUGCACAAUGGGCGGAAGCCUGAUGCAGCGACGCCGCGUGAGGGAUGACGGCCUUCGGGUUGUAAACCUCUUUCAGCAGGGACGAAGCGUAAGUGACGGUACCUGCAGAAGAAGCGCCGGCCAACUACGUGCCAGCAGCCGCGGUAAGACGUAGGGCGCGAGCGUUGUCCGGAUUUAUUGGGCGUAAAGAGCUCGUAGGCGGCUUGUCGCGUCGACCGUGAAAACUUGGGGCUCAACCCCAAGCCUGCGGUCGAUACGGGCAGGCUAGAGUUCGGUAGGGGAGACUGGAAUUCCUGGUGUAGCGGUGAAAUGCGCAGAUAUCAGGAGGAACACCGGUGGCGAAGGCGGGUCUGGCCGAUACGACGAGGGGAAA